UACAGAGGUCCCAAGCGUUACUGAGAAUCACUGGGUUUAAAGGGUGCGUAGGUGGUCCGUUAAGUCAGUUGUGAAAUCCCCGGGCUCAACCCGGGAACUGCUUCUGAUACUGGCGGACUUGAGGCCAGUAGGGGUCACUAGAACUGACGGUGGAGCGGUGAAAUGCGUAGAUAUCGUUUGGAACGCCGAUGGUGAAAACAGGUCGCUGGGGCUGUGCUGACGCUGAGACACGAAAGCCAGGGGAGCGAACGGG
RNAcentral lists this ribosomal RNA (253 nucleotides) under uncultured bacterium. Its description in RNAcentral is "partial 16S ribosomal RNA". It matches the Rfam family "Bacterial small subunit ribosomal RNA", at positions 524 to 776 of the family's 1533-position model. The record is from RNAcentral.